CCAAGCGAGUGUUAUCUGUCUUUUCUCUUCUAACGUUCAAGUCUGGAACAGGUUUGUCCUGAUCUUUGUUGAAGUUUUCUCUCUCAGCCUGACUGAACAUGUCUGAUGUGGAUGAAGAGGAGGACAGACCAGAGUCUGUGGACAGGCACACAGCAGAGUCUUCAGGAUCCAGCAAGUUGUCUUUGAAGAGUGACCAGUCUAGAGAAUAUCCUCCAAACUACAGUGCUGAACCUGGACCUUCAGAUGCAAAAGAGAAGAAGAGCAGUGAUGUCUGUGAGGAGCAGCCAGAAAGAUCCAGAAGCAUCGCUGC
Long non-coding RNA from Salarias fasciatus (jewelled blenny), 310 nucleotides. RefSeq lists it as uncharacterized. Lineage: Eukaryota; Metazoa; Chordata; Actinopteri; Blenniiformes; Blenniidae. The record is from RefSeq and is a predicted model, not a curated record. The transcript has 3 exons.